GAUGAACGCUAGCUACAGGCUUAACACAUGCAAGUCGAGGGGCAGCGCAGUGUAGCAAUACAUGGGCGGCGACCGGCGCACGGGUGCGUAACGCGUAUCCAACCUUCCCGUUACUCAGGGAUAGCCUUCCGAAAGGGAGAUUAAUACCUGAUGGUGUUGAAGUUCGCAUGUUCUUCAAACUAAAGAUUUAUCGGUAACGGAUAGGGAUGCGUGACAUUAGAUAGUAGGCGGGGUAACGGCCCACCUAGUCUACGAUGUCUAGGGGUUCUGAGAGGAAGGUCCCCCACACUGGAACUGAGACACGGUCCAGACUCCUACGGGAGGCAGCAGUGAGGAAUAUUGGUCAAUGGUCGGAAGACUGAACCAGCCAAGUAGCGUGAAGGAUGAAGGUUCUAUGGAUUGUAAACUUCUUUUAUACGGGAAUAAAGCCCACUACGUGUAGUGGUUUGUAUGUACCGUAUGAAUAAGCAUCGGCUAACUCCGUG
RNAcentral lists this ribosomal RNA (485 nucleotides) under uncultured bacterium. RNAcentral describes it as "bacterial SSU rRNA". It matches the Rfam family "Bacterial small subunit ribosomal RNA", at positions 28 to 507 of the family's 1533-position model. The record is from RNAcentral.